Molecule: long non-coding RNA, 2238 nt
Organism: Toxorhynchites rutilus septentrionalis
Lineage: Eukaryota; Metazoa; Arthropoda; Insecta; Diptera; Culicidae
Exons: 3
Source: RefSeq, a predicted model, not a curated record
GUCCAAGCCACGAGAUCACAAACUUAGGCAACAAGUAACAAUCAACCGUCAUCGAUAACCAGCCAUCAUCAAAGCCGGUACUGUACCAUCACGAGAGGAACGGCACAAAGCAGAUGGGAUUUGUUUACUUUUCUAGAUAGACCAACGCCAAGCGAUAACGUUACAUAAGUAGAAUUAGUAAGGAUAAACAAGGAUGAGAAAGAGAAUGAUGAUUAUGAAAACACCGAUCGCCUAUCGGUCGAGCGUCAGUCUUGUUUCAUUAGCUGUUAAGUGAAGAAGGAAAUAAAGUUCAGGGUUUCAACCCAUAAUUGGCGCUGUAGCAGUCGGUCACAGUUCGGUAGUGACAGUGUUAAAAACAGUGGAACAGUGAAGAAAUAAGAAAUCAUCACUAAGUGGUACCCGCAGCAGCAUCCGCAACUGAAGGAUUAAAUCCGUUGUUGGAUUUGAGGACCCCCCGGCACGACAACUUACCACACUGGAACCAAGGACCCCACCGGUUUCUCAAGACACCGACCGAUGUUUUUUCCUUUCUUUCCCAAACACAAUCGCAGGUACACAAUAUUACGUAUAACCCACGCAGUGUUGAUGCUCCUCUCUGUUAAUUCUACUCAGGCCUUUUUUUUAUACCACCGGAUUUUCCUCGGAAGUACAGCAGGAUGGAGUUAGACAUUUCGGCGUGGGCCAGUGGAUGUGGAUGAUACGCUGGAUGUUUUGCGGGGGCAAAUAAAUGUACCUGGUGGGAGGGUCUUCGGAAAGCUACGAUUGAUUUGUUUCUGAUCUGUGCCGAGUUUGCAUCGUAUUGACCAUCGGCGCCAUGCGUGUUCCAGCCGAAGCCAAUCCUUGCAUACUUUGGUCCCGAUAAAUCUAUGCUCCUCGAACUAAUGGAAUUCUUAUGUAAGAGACGAUGAGCGACUCCGGAACACAGCACACACCCACAGCAGGUGACUAAAUGAUGCAAACCAAAAAAAAACUAACACCUCGUGAUUGUUUAAUGCGCUGUCCGUAUCCACCACAACAAUCAGAAUAUAGGCCCACAACAGUAACGCCGCAGCUUGCUCCGCGUAAAGGUCACGACGUGGUAUCCCGAGUCUCUUUUAGCAGGAUUUCACUUUCUUCUGGUGAGAGCGGGAGGUCAUCCACGACAAGAAAUGGAACAAUUCCUUACAGUGUUCUCAUUUCCACUCUACCGCCACAACGGACAAUUUUGUGGGAAUAUGGGAAGUGCCAUUCUUCCACUCGUCGUCGCAGGAGUGGACACCGAGAUAAGCUGCUUCGAGACGCAAGGACGCAAGGUGCUGGUUUUCUACACAGCGAUCCAGAUCUGGGUUUGUAGGUUAAAGAGAGUGGCAUUUUUGUUCAAUAUGGCGACCCUUUUUGAAUUAAUCGGUAAAGAGCCGGGAAUAGCCUCUUCGCACGGAAUGCGAUCUUAUCGGGCCCGCUUAGCAGGUCUCUCAAGGGGGAUAGUUUCAUUCUGAUGUAACGAUUGGAUUAUUCGGUCCUGAUGUGUUUAAACGGGUGAAGUUUGUGAGAUAGAUCAGGAAAGACAUGCGAAUCAAUUUCGUUUGUUUUGCUGUAGAAAACAUUAGGUAUAUUUUAAGCAAACUCUGGAAUAUUUAAACAAUUUUUUUAAAUAUGCUGAAUAAAUAUCAAAAAUCCAGGAAAAUAUUUUUCUUUGUUUUCGAGAUAUAUUUUCUAGAGAUACUAUGUCUUAUGUACGCAAAACCACUCACGCCUCCAUUGUUACGUUAUGUUUUAGAUUUUUACUAGCGGGCCCGGCGAAUUUGGAUCCGCCCAAAAUUUGUGUUUCGAGACAUGGUUUUUUCGCAUUAAAAUGCAGGUAAACCAUCGAAAAAAACUAAAUGGACGAUAACUUCGGCAAAUGUGCUCCUUUUCAUAUAUCGCACAAAAACAACCGCACAAAAACAGAAAAUCGCAUAAAAAAGACCGCACAAGAACAUAUUUUCCUGUACUUUUACAAUAACGAAACACGAAGUUCAAUGUCGUCAACGUCAAUUCCAGUCGAACAAAUGAACCCCAAUUGGACAAACCAUUCACAGCAGAACUGCAGGAGAAGCGUAUUCGAUUUUUUUUCGAAUUUUCCUAGCUUUCUUCGAUAUUCAACAAUUUAUUCUAUUAUUUUAAUUUGAGUGGAGACGAACACAACUGAAUAAAGACAGCUUAAAUCUGAUCAUCUGUUCUAUUGGGAUGAUGAGUUAUACGUACGGACAAAAUCUUUCU